UACGGAGGGUGCAAGCGUUGCUCGGAAUUACUGGGCGUAAAGGGCUCGUAGGCGGCCAACUAAGUCAGACGUGAAAUCCCCAGGCUCAACCUGGGAACUGCGUCUGAUACUGGAUGGCUUGAAUUCGGGAGAGGGAUGCAGAAUUCCAGGUGUAGCGGUGAAAUGCGUAGAUAUCUGGAGGAAUACCGGUGGCGAAGGCGGCAUCCUGGACCGACAUUGACGCUGAGGAGCGAAAGCUAGGGGAGCAAACGGG
Molecule: ribosomal RNA, 253 nt
Filed under: uncultured bacterium
Lineage: Bacteria
Description: partial 16S ribosomal RNA
Rfam family: Bacterial small subunit ribosomal RNA
Source: RNAcentral